Molecule: ribosomal RNA, 497 nt
Filed under: uncultured bacterium
Lineage: Bacteria
Description: partial 16S ribosomal RNA
Rfam family: Bacterial small subunit ribosomal RNA
Source: RNAcentral
GAUGAGCGCUGGCGGCGUGCCUAAUACAUGCAAGUCGAGCGAACGGACGAGAAGCUUGCUUCUCUGAUGUUAGCGGCGGACGGGUGAGUAACACGUGGAUAACCUACCUAUAAGACUGGGAUAACUUCGGGAAACCGGAGCUAAUACCGGAUAAUAUUUUGAACCGCAUGAUUCAAAAGUGAAAGACGGUCUUGCUGUCACUUAUAGAUGGAUCCGCGCUGCAUUAGCUAGUUGGUAAGGUAACGGCUUACCAAGGCAACGAUGCAUAGCCGACCUGAGAGGGUGAUCGGCCACACUGGAACUGAGACACGGUCCAGACUCCUACGGGAGGCAGCAGUAGGGAAUCUUCCGCAAUGGGCGAAAGCCUGACGGAGCAACGCCGCGUGAGUGAUGAAGGUCUUCGGAUCGUAAAACUCUGUUAUUAGGGAAGAACAUAUGUGUAAGUAACUGUGCACAUCUUGACGGUACCUAAUCAGAAAGCCACGGCUAACUACGUG